This 332-nucleotide transfer-messenger RNA is filed under the name marine eukaryotic metagenome. RNAcentral describes it as "Alphaproteobacteria transfer-messenger RNA". It matches the Rfam family "Alphaproteobacteria transfer-messenger RNA". Rfam says of the family: Bacterial tmRNA, also known as 10Sa RNA or SsrA, is named for its dual tRNA and mRNA-like properties. Its role is to liberate the mRNA from a stalled ribosome. The record is from RNAcentral.
AUUUAUAUCUUUUCCGAUUCAACCUAUAAUUAGAGUGCCGGCUCGCCGGCUAUGGCGCUAAAUGGUUUGCGGAAUAAGCGUUGCGGACCCGGGGGCGGUACCCGGCGCCUCCACCAAUACACCAUCUUUGAGAUGAAAAUGGUGCAUCUGUGGGGGCGAAAUAGGAUCGACGCAUGUAGUAAAGGCAAACUUUGUUCCCGGCAUUGUACCACCGUUAUCGGGCUAUAGUCGUUAAAUGCCAACGACAACUUUGCGGGCGAAGCCCGCCUCGCUGCCUAACUUCGGUUAAGCAAGCGCGGUUCGGGGGGCACCGGGCAACAGAAGCCCCCCAC